Molecule: ribosomal RNA, 253 nt
Filed under: uncultured bacterium
Lineage: Bacteria
Description: partial 16S ribosomal RNA
Rfam family: Bacterial small subunit ribosomal RNA
Source: RNAcentral
UACGGAGGAUCCAAGCGUUAUCCGGAUUCAUUGGGUUUAAAGGGUGCGUAGGCGGCUUAUUAAGUCAGCGGUGAAAGCCUGGAGCUUAACUCCAGAACUGCCAUUGAUACUGAUGAGCUUGAGUACACUUGAAGUGGGCGGAAUGUGUCGUGUAGCGGUGAAAUGCUUAGAUAUGACACAGAACACCGAUUGCGAAGGCAGCUCACUAAAUUGUAACUGACGCUGAGGCACGAAAGCGUGGGGAUCAGACAGG